GUGGGGAAUAUUGGACAAUGGGCGCAAGCCUGAUCCAGCAAUGCCGCGUGGGUGAAGAAGGUCUUCGGAUCGUAAAGCCCUUUCGACAGGGACGAUGAUGACGGUACCUGUAGAAGAAGCCCCGGCUAACUUCGUGCCAGCAGCCGCGGUAAUACGAAGGGGGCUAGCGUUACUCGGAAUUACUGGGCGUAAAGGGCGCGUAGGCGGCUCUGUUAGUCAGGCGUGAAAUUCCUGGGCUUAACCUGGGGACUGCGCUUGAUACUGCAGGGCUUGAGGCCGAGAGAGGGUGGUGGAAUUCCCAGUGUAGAGGUGAAAUUCGUAGAUAUCCGGAGGAACACCAGUGGCGAAGGCGGCUUCCUGGACAGUAACUGACGCUGAGACGCGAAAGCGUGGGGAGCAAACAGGAUUAGAUACCCGUGUAGUCC
Molecule: ribosomal RNA, 425 nt
Filed under: uncultured bacterium
Lineage: Bacteria
Description: partial 16S ribosomal RNA
Rfam family: Bacterial small subunit ribosomal RNA
Source: RNAcentral